Non-coding RNA from Equus caballus (horse), 12290 nucleotides. NCBI's taxonomy places the organism in Eukaryota, Metazoa, Chordata, Mammalia, Perissodactyla, Equidae. The record is from RefSeq and is a predicted model, not a curated record.
GCCAGCCCCUCCCGGAAGCGCCGGCGGAGCGUCCCGCAUGGAGCGCGAGCCGCGCGCCUCAGAGGCCGGCCCUGCGGCGGCCGCGCUCUUCGCUUGGGGUGCAAACAGCUAUGGACAGCUUGGCCUUGGCCAUAAGGAAGAUGUGCUUUUGCCCCAGCAACUGAAUGACUUCUGUAAACCCGGGUGUGUCAGGAGGAUCACGGGAGGAGGGGGCCACUCUGCUGUGGUCACAGAUGGAGGAAGCCUUUUUGUUUGUGGCCUGAACAAAGAUGGGCAGCUGGGGCUUGGUCACACGGAGGAUGUCCUGUAUUUUACCCCCUGCAGAUCCCUCCUUGGCUGUCCCAUCCAACAGGUGGCCUGUGGCUGGGAUUUCACUAUUAUACUCACAGGAAAUGGUCAAGUUCUGUCAUGUGGAUCCAACUCCUUUGGCCAAUUAGGAGUUCCUCAUGGGCCUCGAAGAUGUGUGGUUCCCCAGGCCAUUGAGCCCCUGAGAGAGAAGGUUGUUAGUAUUGCUGCUGGACUGAGGCAUGCUUUAGCUGCUACAGCAAGUGGCAUCGUGUUCCAGUGGGGCACUGGCUUGGCAUCGUCUGGACGGCGGUUGUGCCCUGGGGAGACUCUCCCACUGUUUUUGACAGCAAAGGAACCAAGCAGAGUGACAGGCCUAGAGGAUUCUAAGGCGACAUGUGUUGUUGCUGGCUCAGAUCACUCAGCUUCAUUGACAGAUGCAGGAGAGCUGUAUGUUUGGGGAAGCAACAAACACGGGCAGCUGGCUUCCCAGGCUGCUUUCCUUCCUGUGCCCCAGAAAAUAGAAGCACAUUGUUUUCAGCAUGAAAAGGUCACUGCCGUCUGGAGUGGGUGGACACACCUAGUUGCUCAGACAGAAACUGGCAAGGUGUUUACCUGGGGCCGUGCGGACUAUGGUCAACUAGGGAGGAAGCUGGAGUCUCAUGAAAACUGGAGACUGGACAUGCAGGGUUUGUCUCUCCCCUGCCCGAGACCACAGAAGAGCACGCCUUCACCUCUGCAUUGCUUAACGGGAGCUACUGAGGUCUCUUGUGGCUCAGAGCAUAAUCUGGCAGUGAUUGGGGCAGAAGGCCGGAGCCGGCUGGUGCUGAGUUACCUACUGGGCCUGGUGCUGCCAACGGCCCAUCUCUACCCAUCUCUCAGACGACAGCAGCUGCUGCAUCCCAGACACAGGUGGCUCUAGGCUCUGCAGAGAAACAGCCUCUGUCUCCCAGAAUCAAGCUGCAGGAACCUUACAUGAUGGCCUCCUCCCUCUCCUGGGAUCUGAAAGCCUGGAGAAGAACUACCCCGGAAACCUGAGGGAAGAGAGCUUCUGUUUAAAAGUGAUGAGACCCUGAAGUAUUUAUGCAGACCCAAAUGCUACGUCCAGAUCCAGAUCCCAGGGAAGAACAGAGAUCUAAAGACGGAGUUCUGCAAAAACAGAUCGUCCUCUUGAAUGAGCAAACCAGUUCGUACCCCUAGUUCCUGUUGGCAUUGGCAGCAUCCCUAUGGAGAAGGAGAACUCAGAAGGAUCGGCAACACUGUUUGCUUUGGCAGGGAAUUAGUCCCAGCGUUCUUAGAAAUUCUACUUCCUUGUGCCCUGUGAAACUGACAAAGCGUGAGCUUUGGAGUCUGCCUUGCCAAGUGACUGACUCUCCGAGCCUUGGUUUCCUCUCUGUAAACAAACAUCUGAAUAGCAAAACCUACCUCUCAGGGUCAUUUGGAGGAUUGAGUGAGAUAAGUUAGAUUAAAACACUCAACCCUACAUGUAUUAGGUGGGGUUCUCCAAAGAACAGAGCCACUAGUGUCUCUGUCUCUCAUUCUCUAUCUAGAGAGAUUUCAUUUAAAAAAUGUCUCGUAUGGUUAUGGGGGCUGGCAAGUCUGUAAUCCCUAGGGCAAGCCAGCAGGCUGGAGAUUUGGGUAAAAGUUGAUGUUGCAGUCCUGAAUCCAAAGACAGGAAACUCAGGCAGGGUUUCCAUGUUGCAGCCUUGAGGCAGGAUUCCUUCUUCUUCAGGAAACCUCGGUCUUUGCUCUUAAGGCCUUCAGCUGAUUGGAUGAGGCCCACCACAAUUGAUUGUAAAUGUUAAUCACAUCUAAAAAAAAAUACCUUUACAGCAACAUCUAGACUAGUGUUUGACCAAACAAGCAGUGACCAUAGGCUAGCCAAGGUGACACAAAAUGAACCAUCACACCGUGAAAGGGUUAGGGUUCUCGACAAACACAUUUCCUUCCCUCUCCCUCUCCUUCCCUCUGUUUCAAAGUCAUUGUUGACAUCUUCAGUGAAGAGACUUCACUCAGUGACAUCUCUGGCAUGUGGGCCUAGGAGCUGUUAGAAUCUGAGCAGUGGGGCCUGUGUGCCCCUGCUGUCUCUCUGAGAUCUGUUUCUGUUGACUUACAUACCAGGGAAUCAGCGUCCCUCCUUCCUGAGUCAAACCCUGGAGUAGUCUUAGUGGUUUUCCAUUGAAGUCUGCACUCCAAGCCACACCAGUCUUCCUGUGUAUCCUGUCCAGUGUGUUCCUGAUCUGCUGCUCUAAUAUUUGCAGUAUUGCAUUUAUUAUUUUUGUUUCUGAGCUUAGGUCAGAAGACCUGGGCUCUGCCACAGCAAGACUGUUUUACCCACCAGGAUGACCUUUCUGGCACAGGUUAGUUAGCAGUAACUGAGAGGCUAGAAGCAAAGUCUUGGUGGGGGAGUAAGAGUUAAUGCCCUGCGGAGAAUGUUUCAGGUGGCAUUCUGCCUGGAAGCAGAGAGCUGGACUCACUUCUAUUUCAGAGAUUUAUACUCCACAGGUGAUCAGAAUGCUUCUCCUUUUAAUGGAAUGUGGAAUUGCUUUGCCAAAGUUGAAGAAUGCUAGAUGGGAGCAUAAGGUUCGGAAGAGAGCUCUGGACCAGGAAUUAGGAAGCCUGGACCCUGCUUUCCCACUACCUCCCCGUGUGAUCAUGGGCAAGUCACUUCAUGAGUUUAGGCCUCAGCUACCUCUUUCAUAAGAUCCUGGGAACCAUGCACCACCUUAUCUUUGCACGGUACCACCUUAUAGCAUUCAGAGCAUCUUCCUGAUUCAGCAUCUCUGUUCCUCACACCAGCCGCAUGAGGUAGGCAGGAUAAGGUGUGGAAAUGGAUUGUUCCUAUUUUGCAGACAAGGUUCAAACAGAUUCAAUGAGUUGCUCAAAUUCACAGAGACGGGAGGAGGUAAUGCUGGAAUUGAACCCGGGAUCCUUAGUCCAGCUCGUUUCGGGUGCUGUUUUGAAUGCGGUGACAUCUGUGAGACGGUGAGGGAGCACACACAGUGGAGUUGGCAGGAAGCCAGUGGGAAGGACAGCAGCUUCGGAUGGGGCAACACUGCCUUCAUGCUCCCAGGGCACCCAAGGCGUUGAGGGCAGUGAUAGUCUGAGUGGACUCCCACAAACUGAAGGAGGUUUCUGUCUAGCUAUCAAAUUAAAAUGUUUUCUCAUGCUAUUGAUUCAUUCAGAAAACAUUUAUUGAGGCUUUAUCACAGACCAGGUUCUCUACUGGGGGGCAGGAUAAGUAAGCAGAAGUAUAAUGCAAAGUAGACUGUCUGUCUACUUCUGCAAGCAGAAGUAUAAUGAAAAGUUUCAUAUUUGAAUUGUAAACAGAGGGCUUUAGAUUUACAGUGGAAGGUGUGUGCGAUUGAGUCAUCCUGGGGAGAUGAAGGCAAAUACAGCUGAGCCCUGAAGGAGGAAGCAGGGACCAUCAGGAGAAGGAAAGAGGUCUCUGCCUGCUCUUCCUUUUCGGACCCCUGCAGCAGUCACUGCUGCUCUGGGGUGACACGAAGCCAGCUGCCACAGCCUGUUUGCUGUGAGACCUGGCCAGCGCCAACCCCAGUGGAGCCUCUGUCCUGCUUGUCAGAUUUGAUGCAGUGCCCUGAAGCACAUACUGCACAGCCAGAGAGACUCUGCCGGGCCGCUCCCGGAAGGGUGACGAGGAGAGGGGAGGCACGCGGGCCUCGGCAGGGAGGUGGGCAGGUUUGAAGGAGGUACCUCUUCUAGUGAUUGUGCCGACCCUUCUGAAGGGCUGAGAGGCGGGAGCUGUUGCUUUGCAUGCGUUAUUUCAGACUGAGAGCGGUUUGUGUCUUUAUUUUAAAACUAGCUUCCCAGUCUCCUGUGCAGUUUUCUGUCAGCUCGUUGCCAUGGAGAAGUCAGUUGGGGCUGGAAGCUCUGUCCUUCUCUGUGUCAGCAUUUCUGGACUCACCAGCUGCCUCCUGCCCCUUCUACAGAUGGAGGGGGUGCAGGACCCCACUUGCUGGGCAGACCCUUUUUCUGCAAGGCCUGGAGCUGCAUCUCGCUUCCCUUAGGAUGGGAGUCCGUUUCUCUGUGCAUUCACUCGGCAGCUCUCUCGAUGUGCCUCUCUGUGCCAAGCGUUGUGCUCUGCAAGUACAAAGAUAACUGCGGCUGGGGCACACAAAUCUUUAGGCAGGACCCUGCCAGUACGUUCUAGCACACCAUGCCCUUCUUCUACCGUUCCUCAACUGCAUUCUUACUUCAGAAUUCAAAGCAUGGAGUUUGUUUCUCCUCCAGCCUUUAUAACUGCUCAUUUAGAAUCUCCCUGGAAGUUACUUCUGCAUUCCUGGAUCGCAUUUCCACUCUGUGUCUCCAGCGCCCAGCACUGGACCUGGAGCAAAAGGGGGCCCGCCCAGGAAGUGUCUGUUUAAUGGAGUCCUUUCUCAGACUUGUCAGGAUGUCCGUCUGUCCUAUCUUCCUUCCUCUGUUCUGAGCCUGGAGGCAGCAUGGGCCAGUGGAGAACCAGGUAAAUCUAUGCUUGAGUUUGGCUCUACCUUUUCCUAGUUGCAUGAUCUCAAGCAAAUGGCUUCUUCACCUGGAGCCUUAGUCAAACCCAAUACUUUUCUUUAAACCUGAAUCACAAAUCUGUCAGUAAUUGAGUUUUGACGUUUUAAAAAACAACAUAGAAACUACUGGUGGCCAUUUAACCCCACCAGGUGCUGUCCUGCUACACCCAUGUGGGACCCAGUUGAGAAGUUACCCUGCAGGGAGCCCCGGGCUGGGAUCAAGAGACCCAGAGCUGUGUCCUGGCUAUAACCCGACGGUAUUGCAUGACCUGAUCAAGUCUCUUUGCUUACCAUGACCUCAGUCUCCCUAUUUGAAUAAUUUUGGAAUUGGAUUGAGUGGUCUUGAAGAAUUCUUUUCACUCUAAAAAUCUGAAGAUGCAACUUUUAAAAGAAGAAUCUUCCCUCAGCUUCUGGUCCCACCAUCACAAAUGCCCCUAGGCUGGAGGCUGACCUCAGGAUGACCCCUCUGCUGGCCUCUCGAAGCUGCUCUCCCAGAAAGCUCUGGACUAGCACACUGGCAUCUCUUGGUGGCAGAAAUCUCUUUUGGAUGCAAAAGUCCUUUGACUCCAUCGUUCUGUUCCCACCCUGAAUCCAGUGGCUGGACUUGGCUUGCAUCCCAGAACAGUGGAGAAUUGCUGGAAGGAGGAGUUCGUUCUUCACCUGUGUCUUGCUUUUCCUCAGGGCCUGUGGCCUUCCCGAGCCUUUAGCUACCGAGGAUUCUGUUUCCUGAGCUACCUGCAAUCCAGGGCUCUGUGCCAGGCACUGAGGAGGAUACAGAGAGAGAGGUCAUUCUCCUCACAGCCAGUCUCACAGUCUAUGACAGGGACAGCGAGACAAAGCAGAGCUGUGCAGCUCAUGGGAGGCUUGUCCUGGGAAUCUGCAAACUUGGAUUCUAGCCACGGCCCUUCUGUCUUGUGCAGGUUCUUCCCUUCUCUAAGCCCCAGUGUUGCCUUACGUAGAAUUGAGAGAGUUGCCCCAGUGAUCGCAGAGUCCCCUUCCUGCUCUGAAACCUCCAUUCUGAGUGCUGUAGCUCAGUGAAGGAGUGAUGAUUGUAGACUUCCUAGAGAAAGGAGGACUUGAGCUGAGCCUUGAAGGCUAGACUGGAAUUUGGACUGGCCCAGGAGAAAUGGAUGAUGGCCUUCCUGACUAGGGGAGGAGGGUGCAUGAGCACAGGCAGACCAUAGAGCACAGGUGAGGGUGGAGCAGGUGGGAGCCCUCCUGACCAGGGCAGAGGAUUCGUGUGGUCAUGAGGAGGGGGAGCAAUCUCUGAGGAGGCAACUGUUGCCUUCCAUCUGUGGGCACUUGUCCAGGGCUUGGGGUAUCAGUGGUGCCUGCUAGGCAGGGAAGCAAACAAGGCAGGGUAAAACCAGGGCCCCCUUCUAUCUGGGAGUCCCAGUCUGAAGGCUCAAGGGUCAAAAGUGGGAGAGGCCACCCUCUCCAGGCCCUUGCCUUCUCAUCCCAGCCAGCGGGUCCCUGGUGAGUAGGAUCAGGGCCGAGUGUGAAAGAGUAAGUUUUCCUGGGAUAGCUGCCCUUCUAUCAUGGACUAUUCCUCCCCAAAUGUUUUCCUGAACUCAGAGUGACAAGAGGGAUAUUUUGACUGUGUCCUUGGGAUUGGCUUCUAGAUUCAUCUCCCAGGCCUGUGAAUCAAAGAGUCACGCAUCCUAGACCUAAAUGCAACCUUCAUCCUCCAGUCCUCUGGCUGAGGCUGACUCCUCUCUGCCCUCUGUACCCACAGCUUUGCAGAUGCCCAGUCGUCUUGGUCCUGCCUCCUUGCUUUCUCUCCAGCCAUCUCUUUUCUGCAUCCCACUGCCACUGAGACAGCGCAGGCUCCACUCAUCCUCCUUCUCCCGGACUUGGCCUCUGCCUCCAAACAUCUUCCUGUGGUCCCUCCUCCACGUUCAGUCUGAAGUGUUUAGAAAGUGCCCGGCAGAGUCUAAGUGCUCCCUGAGUGUUACCUGUCGUGAUGACACCAACAGUGAUGAUAACUGUUAUUAUCCAGAUUUGCUUCUGAAGCACAGCUCUGAUUCUGCUGCUCCCUUGCCCAAAAGCCUUAGUGGCUUCCAAUUGGCUGCUGAAUAAAGUCCAAAAUCUUUAGUCAUUUUGAGGAUUAUAUUUCCUGAGCCAUCUGCAAUGAUACGCCCCCUACCUAGCAUCUCGAGUUUAUUUCCUUCUACUACUUUUUGCACUUCCUCUUCUUCCACCAAACUGAACUCCCACCAUUAGCUCUACAAGCCCCAUCCACCUCCCCUGCAUGGCCUUUGUCCCCACCAUUCCCCCUACUUGGAAUGCCCUUCCUCCGGCUCCCUUAACUGUUCUUUUUCCACUGGGAAAUCUCUGCUGACCACCUAGGUUAUAUAUUCCUUGAUGCAGGUGCCAUGAAUGAUUCAUUCUGUAUCCCUGAUAGCAUCUACCAAGGAAAGCUCAAUAAAUGUUUUAUGAGUGACUGGAAAGACCUGGUUCAGCCCCCUCUUUUCAAGCAAGCUAGAGUUUGAAUUAGGGAAGCUCAGUCGUCAAGGCCUAUCCAGCCAGGCCUCACUAAGUAUGAAUUUCCUUGACAGGAUCUGGAAGUUCCUCAGUGUCCAUGGGCACAUGUUCAAUCAGCCAGCUCCACCUGGUCGUGACCCCUGGAUGCUACACACAAGCAAAAUGGCAGGAGAAGAUAGAAACCCAGGGUAACCAUAUUAACUAAGGAGUUGGCUCCUGUUGGUCAGGAUAGGGAUCAACCACCCAAGUUAUAGGGAUCUGUGUGAUCCUGUGACUAUCAAUAUUCUGGAAGGUCCUUCUUGGGUCCUCCAGCAGGAGGAUAAGAGGUCUUCAGGUAGUUAUCAUGGGACCUUCAAAUUCCAAGGGGCUCCAGCCAGACAGCAAUUUGGGGGACAGAUAAAAGUCUCAGGCCCUUAGGUGGUAGAAUGGCAGGAGAGUCUAGGCAGAGUGUCAGGGUCCUGCCCAGCCACCUGGAGUUUGACUCAGGCGUCUAGCCACAGGAGUCCCUAGUUUAGGGCUCACUAGUCAUAUGGCUGGGCGUGUCCAGUGGGCAUCAGCCACGAGGUUGUCAGAGGGGACUGAGCUCCCUCUCUGGUCAGGAUGACUUGGAAAUAGGCAUGACCUCAGUUUGGAAACACCUUCUUGUCUUCAGUUCCCUUGGGUAGGCGGGACCAGGGGAGGUAAAAGCUGAUAGGUAGCCAGGCCCAGAGGUGAGUCCUGCCUCCCCUCCUGGUUCAGUCUGGCUCACCAGACCCUUGCCUCCAUUUCAAACUCAAGCCAUGAUCAUGCCACCCUCUGGGCCACCAUUUGGAAAAGCCAAUCUCAGGCUGACACUGACUGCUUGUAAAUGGCGUGGAAUUAGGCUAAUCAGUGGCUCUUAAUUCCCAAACAAAUGCGGGUGCUGUGCUAAUUGCCAAGGUCCACGGCGGCAGAUCCCUGGUUGGCAGCAUCGAACAAGAGAAGUGGUAAUUUGGGGGCUGGAGUGGGGGAGGGCCUGCUUUCCUGGCUGAGCCAGUUAAAAACCACAUUACCCCCUGAGUGAGCCACAGUGCAGAGAGCCAGGACCAGGCCUCCUUCUCAGCCAAGGGGCUGGGUGAGAGGCCCACAAGUGUGUUUGCAGGAGCUAAACCUCAGCACCAGUGGAGCAGUUUCUUGUCCAUUAAUGGAUUUUUUUUGGUUCAUCAAGGAAGAUUCCGCCAGCACCCUGGCAUGGCACUGCCAGAGCAGCUCACUGGAGACAGAGCAUCUCGAACUUUGGUCUGCCGUUACCAUGGCAACAUGGCAUUUCCAGACUCUCCAGGCAACCUUACUGGCAUCUGCUGCUGUGAAAGAUUCAGGUGGAGAAGGGCCACUGCUCUUUCUCCAUUAGAGACAGAGAAAAUUGUGAAGACAGGGAGCCAUGCACCAAAGACCAGGAUCUUAAAGGAAAAUGCUGUUCCAUUAAUGUAGGGGCUUCUCGAUGAAAUGGUUUUUAGGUAGCUGUUAAAGCUGUUCUGUCUGUCAUAGUCUGUUGGGGAGAGCUGCAGGAUCAGAAGAGACCUCCUGGAGGAAGAAAGUGAGGGGAGAUGGGGAAAAAUAGGGGAGACAGUAUGAACAAAGGCUCAGCUGGGGAGGCAGAUGGAUGGACAAUGGGGUUUGGUGGGAGAAGAGACAUAGGUGGAGAUGGGCAGGUGUUAGCCAUGCCUGUCUGAAACGUGCUGGUUUGAGCCAUGUGUGGCAAAAGCCUGACCUUGGCCUCAUUCCACCUGGAUUAUGUCCUGUCUCUUCCCCUCCUGGGCUCUGGGACCUGAUCUCCACACCUCACACCUCGCUCCAGGUGGGCAUUUCUUGCUUUCCGUUUUGGUUCACGUGUGUUUCAGGAUCUCUUGUACCCACUAGAAUUGCUAAACCUCUACAUUUAUAAGGGAACUGAGACCCAGAGAGGAAGAUACUUGCCUAAGAUCACCAGCGAUAGGGAGGCCAUGGAACAUAGGGGUUAAGAAUUUAGGAUCUGGAGACAGACUGACUUUGGUUAGAGUCCUGGCUCCACUGUUUAGCUGUCAGGUGAGUGUGAGCCUCAGCUUCUUCAGGGGUAAGAGAAGGAUCCUGAACAUUCCUACCCUGUUGGGAUAUCGUGGCUGUGAAAUGAGAUAUGGAAGUAGUACAGCAGCAUUCCUGGUGUGUAGUUAAGAGCUCAGGAAACGGGGUUAUUGAGAUUGGGAAUUCCUUAAAAAUGGGAACUAUCUUAUUCAUGUUUGCUCAUUCCUCCUUCUGCUUCCUUGCACACAUGAGACACCCAAAUACUACUUUAUCUGGAGUUGAUAUUAAAAGGAUGUUUGUUAAUGGGAUGAAUGCAUGAAUGCUCAGAAUAAAGAACUGCCCGCAUCGAUGGGCUCUGCACUCCUGUCAAGUGUUUUCAGCUUUGGUGCCUUUUGGUCUCCAUAGGCUGGAUCCAGGCCAGGCCAAGAGUCUGUCUUGUGUAGCUCAGCCCACACAGUAAAGUGACUUGCCCAUUCAGGUCCCAUACCCCGCUGCCCUGUGGCCCAGGACUUAUACUUCCUAGGGCUGUGGGUUUCUUGAAGGACAGAUGGAGUAGAUUCCUCCCAACCUUCAGGCACAAUAUACAAUAUAAAUGGAACUAAUAUAUAGCUUUGUAGUAUACAAAAAGUUUCCCUUCACUCUCACAUGAGCCUCACUGUAGCACUGAAAUUGUCCGGAGUAAUAUCCCCACACCGGGGAUGAAGACACUGAGACUCAGUGCUAAGGUGUCGCUGGUCCAAAAGUGCACAGCAGGAAGAGCUGGAGCAGGGGCAUGGCCCCAUCUUCUGACUCCAACUCUAGUGGUCUUUCCACCAAAUGAAGGCUCUUUGGGUCUGUAGUUUUUCAUAGGAUGUGAUUCCAGUGAGGUAAGGAGCUCUGGGCUUGGAGUCAAAAUGCCUUGAUUUGGAUCAUGUCCCCAUCACUUACAAGGGCACAGCUCUUGAGCAAGCCACCUCUCUUCUAGAGAUGCUCGUUUCCUGAUCUUCCUGCUUGGAUUUGUAGUGGGGCUCAAGGUGCUUUGGAAGGUCUGAAACUCCAGGUGAAUGACUGGGGAGAGGAAUGUUGUUUUCAGCAAACAGCGUCUCCGGGAGCCGCCUUGAGCUCAACAAGGCUGCAGCCCCAAUAGGUGCAGAUGUGCUAUGGAAUGACUGGUAUGGAAUGCCUGGGUAUGGUGGAAAGUGCUCUCCAUUGUCCUGAAACGUUAACCAUCAGAGCCGGAAGGCCCUUGGAGAUCAGUAAAGCUGGAGCCUUCAGUUUAUGUGUGCAGAGACAGAGGCCUUGGGAGAGGCAGUGACUCACCCAGGACCACAUGCUGAGUUAGUGGCAGAGCCGCCCGGUUCCUCCUCUAGGGCCCAGCAAAGCCUGGCAUAGGCCCUUGCUCCAGGUGCCUCGUCUGAAUGCAUUUUAAAGCAUCAGAUAAAGAAAUGACUGUUUGAAAGAACUUUGUAUAUUAGACAAUAUUUACAACAGUGGUAUUUUUUUAAACAUUUUUUAUUAUGAAAGUAAUAUGUGAUCAUGAAAAAAAUUUGGAUAAUAGAGAAAUGUUCUGUUUAGAAGAUAACAUACUGGGUACCAUUCCUAAACGACAGAAAUACCCCUGUAGGCAGGUUGCUAUCUUUUAGAUGGAGGCUUUUAGACCAGUGGUUCCCCAAACCCUGUACACCUUCUGGAAGUUUAGCUACAAAGAGAAGAGAGUAACUUCAUAGAGGCCUUCAGGACUUAAUUUAGUUCCACAAACUUCAGAUGGUUAGAUCUGCUACUGAUAAGAGUAGUAAUAAUAGUUGUUGGCAUUUGUAGAGUCCCUUCCAGGUAACAAACCACUUCUUCAUAGGCGUUCUCAUUGAUUAUUUGUUCAUUACAAGAAUCCUGUAAGGUAGAAAAAACAAGACUUAUUUUCCCAUUCUGCAAAUGGGAAAUUUGAGUCCCAGAGAGAUUAAGUAACUUGCUCAAGAUUACACAUCUAGUAAGUAGUAGAGCUACUGACUUCAAAUGAAUACUUGGCAUAAAGAAAGCAGAGAGUACCUAAUAAAUGUCUGUGAGUGAAUGAAUGAAUACCUGACUCCCUUUCUUGGGAAGGCACUGGACAUCAUCUGGUGCAGCGGUUUUCAGAGCAUGCUCUGGCAAGCCCUUUUAUUCCAUGGAGCCAGUUGGGGGUAGUGGGCAGCUGAGUGGAUGAGGCUCUCAGCCCCUCACCCCUACUCCAAUCAGAGGAGCUUCAGGUGUGGCCUGUUUCAUGCACUGGGAGAGUGGAAACAAUUUAGCUAGUUUGAUUCCUAGAUCAGUGGGUCUCAAACUCUCAUGUGCAUCAGAACCUCCACGGGACAUCCCAAUGGUUGGUCUGCGGUGGGCGCCAGAAUUCUGAUUGUUAACAAGUGCAGAUGGUCAUCAGGCCACAGUUUGAGAAUCAGGGGCCUGAUUCUUGGACUUGGGGAAGGUAAGACCCAGGGAGAAGCAGGGAGUUACCCUCAGUCAUACAGCUCCAUGGGAAGGAGCAUAGGCCCCACUAGGAGUCUAAUCCUUGGGUACCUCGUCCCUUCCCUCUGUACCACAACUGCAGCUGAGCCAGAAAACAAAUGACACAGCAGAGAAUAGCAGAACGGUUUCCAUAGCAAUGCUUAGUGGUUUGUGCCUGUCGGGAUACCUCAGACAAACACUAAUCUAAACCCUCAUCUAGAACUUGUGUGAAGUGUUACCCACUUGUUCCACGCAAAAGGUCUUGGGGGAUGGGAGGAAGGAAGAGGCAUGGCAUGUUUUUUUCAUGUGCCCCUGUACUAGAGAUUGUUCCAAAUUUACUAAUAGCUGGCAGCAAGAUAGACCAGACCAAGGAGAGCUAGGAGUGGAUCCUGGGCAGGAGACAUGGGGCCCUCGCAGCGGCAAAUGGAGAGAUGGGGGAGGGAACAAGUAUCAACUGAGUGUGUUUCAUGUGAUGGACUCUGUGCAGGGCACUUUAUGUAUUCAUUCAAAAAUAAAAGGAAAGGAAAA